AAAAAGCAAAAAGCAAAGAAAGUGCAUUGUUUCAAGUCCAAACAGCUGAGUUUCAGGAGAAGGUCCAUGAACUGAAGAUGUUCCUCUUUGACAUCUCUGCAAGUCCCUUUUGGUCCUGAAAUAGACUUGCAGAAUCCUGAAACUAAGAACUGCUGAAGAAAAUCCAUCAAUAAUUAUAAAAAAUCCAUUGACAGUUAUCAAACAAUUUUGAGAAAAUUUCUGGAAUGUCCUGGCCACAGCCCUUAAUUGAACCAUUUGUGCUGAGGCUAAUUUGUGUCUUUUCAAUGCUUUUGAGCUGCUAGCUCUUUCCACUUUUCUUAUUUUAUUUAAAUUUUUGUUGUUGUUCUUGUUUUGUUUUCUGAAAGAACAGCAGCAGCAGCAGAGGGACUCUUGGACCCUGCAGCAGGCCCUGGUCCUCGUGGGUGGACCAGGGAACCCAGACCCAAGCCAUGGGUGGUGGCCCAGGCCCUGAUGGGGGAAGCAAAGCCCCCAAACCCAACAGCAGGCAGGGCGGAGGCCCUAGCCCAGGGAAAUAAGCCAAAUGGCCCAGACUCAGCCUCGAGGCGGGCUCUCUGUUCUCACAACUCGUCACCACGACGCUGCCAUUGCAUUGGCAGCAAUAGUGACUGAACACCUCCUCCCCCUUUCCCCAGAACCACCGAUGCAUACCGGCAGCUGGAGAAGAGAAGGUUUCCCGAGAAUCUUCAUCUCGGAUCUGGGGGUUUUAUCUCCCCAGAGCAAGCGAGCAAUGCUCACUUUCCACUGUGUCUCUUGCUCCUGCAAUGCAAAUGCCAGUGUUCCUGCUCUCUGCCCCUUAGUACCACCCCAACCCCUCCGGGCUUGGGGCUGGAGGCAGAACCUCCAGGAACCACCUCCCCGACAUUGCUGGGGCGUGCAGGAGGAGGCAAGCACCCCAAACACCAGUGAGAAGCCCCCGACCAAAUGCAAAGCGGCCCGCGAAAAACGCUGAGCUUGAAAGAGGUCAGCCAGCAGGCGCCGGCAAUCAGCUGUCAAGCCAUACCUCCCCUGGCAGGCAGGCUGAUGUCCCUUUCCCCGGCCCCAGCCCCCACUGCAGGGGCCGCCUUGGGAGAGCCCAAGCAACUCCGGGGGUAGGGCUGAUGAUAGGUGCCGCGGCAGCCGCCGCUGGGGGCGGCGGGACCGCGGGCCACCCCAGAGAUAGUUCUGCGGGCUCAGCGCCGUUCUCAGCAUCCUCUUGAACUGGAAACAGACCUCUGAUCCAGCAGUGUGAAAACCCUUGGAAUUUGCAAGGAGGAGGAAAUCACUGAGAAGAGCAGAGAGAAUAAAGUAUGAUUCUUCAGAAAGUAAGACAUCAGGAGAAGGAGGAAAAGCACAAAAUCAGGAGGCUGUUGGAAGACAGGAAGAAGAUAGGAAGGGAUAAUAGCAUAAGAAGAGAUGCAAAGAACAGAAAACAAAUGAGUGAAGAAAAUGUCAGACUUCAUCUGCAAUGCUCAGUUUGAAGAAGCCAAAUGUACUUCUAUCUAUCAGAAUAUAUCACUAUUCUGAUCUAGCUAUGGAUUGGUGGUUUGAAGAGCAUUGAGAAGCUGUUACAGUGGAGAUAAGGAGACAGAGAAGAUUUUUACUUAGCUCAAACUCCAGUUUUGGGUGAUAGUUUUUGUAAUUGCCCACAGGAUGAAUUAUAGAGAUGACAUAACAAGAAAGUUCAUGUUGCUGUCUAUAAACUGCUGGAAUUACUUCUCAUGUCAAGGUCCACAGAUCAAUUUUCCAGUCUCCUUGGAAUAUAGGGCAUGGUUUCACCUCAUGAUCUUUCAUCAUUAACAGAAAGGCAUACAAUUGUUUGAAGAUAUUAGAAACAGGGAACAUGUUGUUUCUUUUCUAAUUUCAGCAGUAUAUCAUUCCUACUAUUAAAGCUUUAUCUAAUUUAGAUUUGUCUCACUUUGGGGCUGUUUUUGUCAUUGGGUGAAGAAAGCAUUUUAUGCAGACCCUACUCUGAGAGGCCUGCUUGCACAACCCUGCAUGCGAGCUUGCUAGCAGAGAGAUGUGCUAGCAGAGAUGUGCUGCCCUUGGACAGACAAUAUGGACAUACUUGCCAAGAUGUGCCCAAGGAGAAGGGAUGUGAAGCCGGAUGUUCCGAGGAUAAGCAAAGAAGAUAUCGAGCAAAAUGUUCUACUGAUACCUCUACUAAGAUCUGCUACGUGACUAAGUCUAUGUUAGCUUUCUGCCUUGCUUUGUAUCCAAUCAAGUAUAUUCCCACGCCACUAGUAUAAAUGUACCCUCAGAUUUGCAAUAAACCGAGCAUUGAUCAU
Long non-coding RNA from Motacilla alba alba, 2285 nucleotides. RefSeq lists it as uncharacterized. NCBI's taxonomy places the organism in Eukaryota, Metazoa, Chordata, Aves, Passeriformes, Motacillidae. The transcript has 3 exons. The record is from RefSeq and is a predicted model, not a curated record.